AACGAACGCUGGCGGCGUGCUUAACACAUGCAAGUCAGACGGGAAAGUGCUCUUCGGAGGACGAGUACCGUGGCGAACGGGUGAGUAACACGUGGGCAAUCUGCCCUUGGGAUCGGGAUAACCCGCCGAAAGGCGUGCUAAUACCGGAUAAGACCACGCUGUCCCCGGACAGUGCGGUAAAAGGUGGCCUCUCCAUGGAAGCUAUCACCUGAGGAUGAGCCCGCGGCCUAUUAGCUUGUUGGUGAGGUAACGGCUCACCAAGGCGACGAUGGGUAUCCGGCCUGAGAGGGUGAACGGACACACUGGCACUGAGACACGGGCCAGACUCCUACGGGAGGCAGCAGUGGGGAAUUUUGCGCAAUGGGGGAAACCCUGACGCAGCAACGCCGCGUGAGUGAUGAAGGCCUUCGGGUCGUAAAGCUCUUUUAGUGGGGAAGAAACACCCUGGGACGAAUAAUCCCAGGACUUGACGGUACCCACAGAAAAAGUUCCGGCUAACUACGUG
RNAcentral lists this ribosomal RNA (505 nucleotides) under uncultured bacterium. Its description in RNAcentral is "bacterial SSU rRNA". It matches the Rfam family "Bacterial small subunit ribosomal RNA", at positions 29 to 507 of the family's 1533-position model. The record is from RNAcentral.